Molecule: long non-coding RNA, 219 nt
Organism: Rhagoletis zephyria (snowberry fruit fly)
Lineage: Eukaryota; Metazoa; Arthropoda; Insecta; Diptera; Tephritidae
Source: RefSeq, a predicted model, not a curated record
ACUUUCGUAAGUACUCCUGUAUGUUCAAAUAUUUUAAGUAAUCACACAAUGUCACUUGUAAAUGUUUCCAACUAUGGGCAGUUAAUUAAUUUAAUUAGCAAAAUGUUUUUUUAUUCGUAGAACAAUUUGCAAAACUUUACUUGGUUUCUCUAGCGGCUUUAUUUUGAUGCAAUUGCUUACUUUUGUACAAAUGCGCACACCCACCUAAUUAGCAGAAUA